Columba livia (rock pigeon) is the source of this 1902-nucleotide long non-coding RNA. RefSeq lists it as uncharacterized. The record is from RefSeq and is a predicted model, not a curated record. The transcript is spliced from 2 exons. NCBI's taxonomy places the organism in Eukaryota, Metazoa, Chordata, Aves, Columbiformes, Columbidae.
CGGUAGAUGGAUGGCGGUGGGAGAGGACUGUGCGAGGGCGGGAGCGGCGGGGGGGCAGGAGGAGGACCCAGCCCCGCCGCCGCCGCUCCGGAGCAGCCGCGCUCUGCACCACGGGCACUGCCAGCCGCCGGGCGCAGGGCAUAAAUGAAGGUCCCGAAAGACUGCAAAAUGGUAGUCCUGAAGAAGGAUGUUCUCUGCUUAACCAUGGUACAGAGACAAGGUCUUCUGUUGAGAACUUUUAAGUAGAAGCUGAUGUCAGUCCCUAUGCCUGGAGAGCGUGAAGCAGAUGCAUAUGUUGCACUGACGUCGUCAGAGAUGAAAUAAGCCCUUGCACUUGUCUGAAGAGACACGUAUUCCUCAGUCAGAACCUUACAAUUUUUGUGUACUUUCCAGCAUAUUUCUGACUAUUUCUCACUAUUUAUGACUGAAAAGAACCCUUCUGCAUUUUGAUUCAGGACUGGGUUCUUUGUCAUAUGAGGCUUACGACUGAUAUUGGAACAAUGAUUAUUUAGUGAUCUGGAGCUUCUGCUGAGCUAGUAUCCGUUUCUACUUAACUGAACAAGCUACAAGCCAGGCAUCAAACAGCUACAACUUGAAAGCUGAGACAUAAACGGUGGCAUCUUCAAUCUAGGAGUAAGAAUUCCUUUAUUUUAGGCAUAUGACUUUGCAAGCGACAUUUGACACUCAACAGUUAGCUGCCUGAACCCCCUAAGUAAAAUGUGGGAAUAGGUGUACCCCUUCAGACUGCUGUGAGAAUCAACAUUCAUCCUGAACUGAGAGUCAGCAGGAGCUGGCAAUAAGAAGGAAUCACCCAUCCCAGCUGAAUGUCUGCCAUGCCACAGCCAGCCAGCCUCCUCCAUCAGGGGAGAAAUUAAGAUCCUCUCUUUCAAAUACUUGAGUCAGCUUUCUCUUUUCUUUCAGAGCCUCCUUUAGUAUAAAAGCCCAAUGGCAAUGAAACUUGGCCAGAGUGUGGACUAUGAUCCAUGUGUACCUUCAGUGAGAGUGUGAUUUAGAGUGCAAGCACACUCCGUGCCCCAGGCUCCUGGUUAGGGGAAUCUUCAUCUGGGGUCACUCCACGGGCUGCUUGCUGUAGUCAUUUAGCAAAAAUCAGAUUCUUGGUGUUAGACCAUAAGAAGGAACUGAUUUUAAGGCACAUGAAGGGAAGUCUUAAUUUCUGCCUCUUUUCCUUUUGAUUGCUUGCACAUUUUACAUUAAACAGAAAUUUAUGAGCAGAAACUGGUGUCUCCUGGCUGAAUAUAUCCUAAUCACUAUGAGAAGGCAUUAUCACUAACAGUUCUUUUUUUCUGCCUCUGUUUUAUAAAGCAACUAUAGCACACUGAGAGGGGUCUGGUCCAGCUGGUGGCUGGGUCUAGCUCCUCAAUGGAUUUAAAUGUGAUAAGUUCAGCUUUGGCCCACAAGCUGCUUCUCCAGGAGUCCUGCCUGGGCUGGCUCUGGGUCUUUGCAGGAGCUGAGCUCCAUGGAGCAUUCACCCCAAACAAGGAAAGAUACUGAAUUUAAUUAGGUGCUUCCAGGCUAAGCUGCCUCUGAAUAUGAUUCUUAGAUCAUAGCUUUCCACACAUCCAUCAAAGUCCCUGUUUGGAUCAAACUUCUCAUACUAACUUGCUUUAAUGUGCCUGCAGAGUUGCAUACAGUAAUAAACAUUUAGGACAUUGCAGGGAAGAGUUUCAUGGUACCUUACAUGAUACUGUCUCACCAACCUGUCAACUAAAAGUGAAAUAAAAUCUCCAACUGCUUAAUCUGUUAGUUAAUUAUCUUUAAUAAUUAAUUGUUCGAGAGAGUUUUAGUACCCUCAGAUUCAUAAAAAGGCAUCUAAAGUAGCAUUUUAUAGUAGGACUUAACGAUUAAGAAAUGUAUCUUCCUGAAUAAAACAUUCAUUUAUAA